UCUAAACAAAAUUCUGCAUAUAGUUCUUUUUUAUAUUUGUAUAAAUUUUUAUUGUUAUAUUAGUUAAUAGAUACCUAGUUAGGUAGAAAUAAGCGUAAGCCUAGAUAAGAAAGAAGCCAAAGAUGUGGCCCCGCGUGGUGAGGUGGGGCCUGGGUGUGGCGACGGCCACAGUGUGCGCUUUUUCUGCAUACAAAGCUUUCCAAGAAAUUAAAAGACUCUCUUCAGACUUGCCAGAAUUUUACCUUCGACAAGACUUAGAACGACGUCGCGAUACAAGACGGUUCGCUAAUUCACGCCAAGAAAGGGAGGAUACUUUUUUAGCCGAUGCAUCGACCGACGAAGACGAAGAUGCACAACGUGCAGGAACUACCAGAAGAGUUAUAUAUCAUCGAACAGCAAACAUAGAAGAUUCUCCCAACAUUCUAGAAGGAAUUUACCCACGUCCUGAAGUCGAUCGAUAUAGGCCAAGUAGAGCUGAACGUAGCCCUAUACUAACCGCAAUACUAGAGCAACAGCGGUCCUCUACAGUGCAAGAAGAAAACAACGACCAAGAAGCUAGUUUAAGCACCGAUAUUGAAACCCCAGCAAGAAACGAAGAUAAUGCUGAGAUGCCGAACACUGAAAAUCAACCGAGUUUAAGCACCGAUAUUGACAACCCAGCAAGAAACGAAGAUAACUUUGAGAUGCCGAUCACUGAAAAUCGACUGAGUUUAAGCACCGAAAUUGAAACCCCUGAAAGAAACGAAGAUUACUCUGAGAUGCCGAUCACUGAAAAUCGACUGAGUUUAAGCACCGAUAUUGAUAACCCAGCAAGAAACGAAGAUUACUCUGAGAUGCCGAUCACUGAAAAUCGACUGAGAUCCACAAAUAUGAAUGAAACGGAAGAAUCGGAGGAGCACAGUUCUGAGAUUAGUGAUACUAAUCUCAGAAACAGAAAAGCGAAAAACUAAAGGAGCGGGGUGGGCAGGGAGCAAAGGUUUCCAUGCGGAGACCUACCGUCCAAUGUAAGAAUGAAAGCUGCUCCCUGCCCACUGUAGAGACGAACGGACGGAAAAGAAAAAGACGUAAGACCAUCUGUUAUGAAAUUGCUGUCUCAUAAGAAGAUGUGGUACAUACAUAC
RNAcentral lists this unclassified non-coding RNA (1120 nucleotides) under Cimex lectularius (bed bug). RNAcentral describes it as "uncharacterized LOC106664278, transcript variant X3". Lineage: Eukaryota; Metazoa; Arthropoda; Insecta; Hemiptera; Cimicidae. The record is from RNAcentral.